UACGUAGGGCGCAAGCGUUGUCCGGAUUUAUUGGGCGUAAAGAGCUCGUAGGCGGUCUGUCGCGUCUGCUGUGAAAUCUGGGGGCUCAACCCCCAGCCUGCAGUGGGUACGGGCAGACUAGAGUGCGGUAGGGGAGAUUGGAACUCCUGGUGUAGCGGUGGAAUGCGCAGAUAUCAGGAAGAACACCGAUGGCGAAGGCAGAUCUCUGGGCCGUAACUGACGCUGAGGAGCGAAAGCAUGGGGAGCGAACAGG
Molecule: ribosomal RNA, 253 nt
Filed under: uncultured bacterium
Lineage: Bacteria
Description: partial 16S ribosomal RNA
Rfam family: Bacterial small subunit ribosomal RNA
Source: RNAcentral